Molecule: ribosomal RNA, 469 nt
Filed under: uncultured bacterium
Lineage: Bacteria
Description: partial 16S ribosomal RNA
Rfam family: Bacterial small subunit ribosomal RNA
Source: RNAcentral
ACGAACGCUGGCGGCGUGCUUAACACAUGCAAGUCGAACGAUGAAGCCUAGCUUGCUAGGUGGAUUAGUGGCGAACGGGUGAGUAAUACGUGAGUAACCUACCUUUAACUCUGGGAUAAGCCUGGGAAACUGGGUCUAAUACCGGAUACGACCAAUCUCCGCAUGGGGUGUUGGUGGAAAGCGUUAUGUAGUGGUUAUAGAUGGGCUCACGGCCUAUCAGCUUGUUGGUGAGGUAACGGCUCACCAAGGCGACGACGGGUAGCCGGCCUGAGAGGGUGACCGGCCACACUGGGACUGAGACACGGCCCAGACUCCUACGGGAGGCAGCAGUGGGGAAUAUUGCACAAUGGGCGCAAGCCUGAUGCAGCGACGCCGCGUGAGGGAUGACGGCCUUCGGGUUGUAAACCUCUGUUAGCAGGGAAGAAGAGAAAUUGACGGUACCUGCAGAGAAAGCGCCGGCUAACUACGU